RNAcentral lists this unclassified non-coding RNA (747 nucleotides) under Orbicella faveolata. RNAcentral describes it as "collagen alpha-1(VI) chain-like, transcript variant X1". The record is from RNAcentral. Lineage: Eukaryota; Metazoa; Cnidaria; Anthozoa; Scleractinia; Merulinidae.
AUUUGACAACAUUUGCCAUCUUUGUUUUCGUCACUUGCGGAUUCAAUUUAUCGUUUGGAAAUAAAGACACUGGCGAGGAAAACUACUACGAAAGUAAGUAAGCUAAAUCUUCCACACAGUUGCAAGUCCCAUCCGGCAUCGUAGAGAAUUUUCUACACUAGAGGACGCAGAUCGAGCGUGAGGUCAAAUGAACAUCUUUCUUAAUCGACAAAUGUUUUGUUUUUCUGAUGUAUGUGCUCUAUCAGUAGACUAUCAGUGAUACUUGCCAAUUAGUAAAGUAUCUCUUAAAAUGUUGUCUUACCAUAGACUGACAAAUCGAAUUAUUGUGCAUUUAGACACAACGCAACCCAGUCGCGCUGGAGGUCCAUUACAAAUCGAUCGAAUGUCAACGAAUAUUCUUAGUUGUGUUUAUUUCAUAUCGUGCGGUCAUGACCAACAGCGGAAAACAAUACUGACAGUUAAAGUAAGCCGGAAAGCUACUUGAACUUUGUCUUGGAUGAGAUGGAAAUAGGAUCUCUAUUGAUAUCUAGCACCAAGAAAGUCUAAGAAGUAAUAACAACGUUUUUACGCAUUAGGGGCCAUGCCGAUGGAAUGAUUAGGAACAUUUUCCGCCAAGAGGAAAUAUCUUAUAUAGCUAACCGGUCUGCCUCCCGCCAGAGUUUCAAAAAAUUCCACCCGCCAUUGAAACAGCCAAGAAGCUCUACAAGAACUUCUUCAGUGGUGGAACAAGAAUAAUCCAUAAACGCC